AGGCGCUGUCCUCGUCCGGAAAACUAAUGUCCUCGAUGUCACCAACGUUGGAGCUUCGGUGGUGGACAAUACCGCAGAUCUCCUUGGUCUUGGAGUGACACUGCAAUUGAUCAGUAAGUAUAUGUUUGUCGCUGCCAAGAACAUCCUCACCUUUGAGUAUUGUACAGGUGCCAAGACAGGAAAGAAGAGCGAUCCCGCAAACCUUGAGAAGUGGUUGUUUUCUGGAGGAUUAUUUGCUACGGACGAUGUCAAGUACUCUGUGAAGUUUUCAGUAGAUCCGGAUUUCGGACUGCCUGGAGCAUUUAUCAUCGCAAAUAGUCAUCCAAGUGAAUUUUACCUUGUCUCUUUGACUGUCGAGAUGCCUGGAGGGGGGAAGAUCGUUGAGUUUCCUUGUUAUUCCUGGGUUUACAAUUCGAAC
RNAcentral lists this long non-coding RNA (418 nucleotides) under Selaginella moellendorffii. Its description in RNAcentral is "long non-coding RNA (SMOE_LNC001810)". The record is from RNAcentral. Lineage: Eukaryota; Viridiplantae; Streptophyta; Lycopodiopsida; Selaginellales; Selaginellaceae.